UACGUAGGGCGCAAGCGUUGUCCGGAAUUAUUGGGCGUAAAGAGCUCGUAGGCGGUCUGUCGCGUCGGAUGUGAAAGCCCGGGGCUUAACCCCGGGUCUGCAUUCGAUACGGGCAGACUAGAGUGUGGUAGGGGAGAUCGGAAUUCCUGGUGUAGCGGUGAAAUGCGCAGAUAUCAGGAGGAACACCGGUGGCGAAGGCGGAUCUCUGGGCCAGUACUGACGCUGAGGAGCGAAAGCAUGGGGAGCGAACAGG
RNAcentral lists this ribosomal RNA (253 nucleotides) under uncultured bacterium. RNAcentral describes it as "partial 16S ribosomal RNA". It matches the Rfam family "Bacterial small subunit ribosomal RNA", at positions 524 to 776 of the family's 1533-position model. The record is from RNAcentral.